This 508-nucleotide ribosomal RNA is filed under the name uncultured bacterium. Its description in RNAcentral is "partial 16S ribosomal RNA". It matches the Rfam family "Bacterial small subunit ribosomal RNA", at positions 28 to 523 of the family's 1533-position model. The record is from RNAcentral.
GAUGAACGCUAGCUACAGGCCUAACACAUGCAAGUCGAGGGGAAACGAUAGAGAAAGCUUGCUUUUUCUGGGCGUCGACCGGCGCACGGGUGAGUAACGCGUAUCCAACCUGCCCAUCACUUGGGGAUAACCUUGCGAAAGUAAGACUAAUACCCAAUGAUAUCUCUAGAAGACAUCUGAAGGAGAUUAAAGAUUCAUCGGUGAUGGAUGGGGAUGCGUCUGAUUAGCUUGUUGGCGGGGUAACGGCCCACCAAGGCGACGAUCAGUAGGGGUUCUGAGAGGAAGGUCCCCCACAUUGGAACUGAGACACGGUCCAAACUCCUACGGGAGGCAGCAGUGAGGAAUAUUGGUCAAUGGACGAGAGUCUGAACCAGCCAAGUAGCGUGCAGGAUGACGGCCCUAUGGGUUGUAAACUGCUUUUAUAAGGGAAUAAAGUGAGUCUCGUGAGACUUUUUGCAUGUACCUUGUGAAUAAGGACCGGCUAAUUCCGUGCCAGCAGCCGCCGUAA